Molecule: non-coding RNA, 18 nt
Filed under: Arabidopsis thaliana (thale cress)
Lineage: Eukaryota; Viridiplantae; Streptophyta; Magnoliopsida; Brassicales; Brassicaceae
Source: RNAcentral
GACUGGGAACGGCUCUCU